Small nuclear RNA from Solea senegalensis (Senegalese sole), 200 nucleotides. RefSeq annotates it as U2 spliceosomal RNA. The record is from RefSeq and is a predicted model, not a curated record. Lineage: Eukaryota; Metazoa; Chordata; Actinopteri; Pleuronectiformes; Soleidae. The transcript has a single exon.
AUCGCUUCUCGGCCUUUUGGCUAAGAUCAAGUGUAGUAUCUUUUCUUAUCAGUUUAAUAUCUGAUAUGUCCUCUAUAUGGGGAUUAAAUAUUAAAUGCAUUUUUGAGCAGUGGGAGGUGAAAACUGGGGCUUGCUCUCUUCACUCCUUGCAUUGGCCCAUGAGGUAAUUGCAGAGUGCCACCAGGAGCGGUGCACCAUUC